ACCAAGUGCUUUCAACUCAGUGAUUUGCUGCAUCUGAAGAUCAAGUUCCAGGGUAUCCUAAGGCUCGCUUAUCCAAUUUUCCGCAUGCUUGGGCGCGUGACCAGUCACCACAGGCAGGCGAGGAUCAUGGUUCCCGAUGUAGAACCACCUUUUCUUCCAAUCCCCAUGGGAGUCGGUCAGAUUGUACUCAAUAUAUGCACUCGAGUUCCUGAGUUGGAACCCGG
Molecule: long non-coding RNA, 224 nt
Filed under: Setaria italica (foxtail millet)
Lineage: Eukaryota; Viridiplantae; Streptophyta; Magnoliopsida; Poales; Poaceae
Description: long non-coding RNA (SITA_LNC001337)
Source: RNAcentral